This 75-nucleotide transfer RNA is filed under the name Saccharothrix sp. RNAcentral's name for it is "tRNA-Arg". It matches the Rfam family "tRNA". Rfam says of the family: Transfer RNA (tRNA) molecules are approximately 80 nucleotides in length. Their secondary structure includes four short double-helical elements and three loops (D, anti-codon, and T loops). Lineage: Bacteria; Bacillati; Actinomycetota; Actinomycetes; Pseudonocardiales; Pseudonocardiaceae. The record is from RNAcentral.
GCCCCUGUAGCUCAGGCGGAACAGAGCGCGACGCUACGAACGUCGAGGUCCCAGGUUCGAGUCCUGGCAGGGGUA